This 253-nucleotide ribosomal RNA is filed under the name uncultured bacterium. Its description in RNAcentral is "partial 16S ribosomal RNA". It matches the Rfam family "Bacterial small subunit ribosomal RNA", at positions 524 to 776 of the family's 1533-position model. The record is from RNAcentral.
UACGAACCGUCCAAACGUUAUUCGGAAUCACUGGGCUUACAGAGUUCGUAGGCGGUCUGGAAAGUUGGGUGUGAAAUCCCUCGGCCUAACCGAGGAACUGCGCUUGAAACUGCCAGACUCGAGGGAGAUAGAGGAAAGCGGAACUGAUGGUGGAGCGGUGAAAUGCGUUGAUAUCAUCAGGAACACCGGUGGCGAAGGCGGCUUUCUGGGUCUUACCUGACGCUGAGGAACGAAAGCCAGGGGAGCGAACGGG